GACUGCAUAUUUUCUUAUCCCAGUGAAAAAAACAGCCUCUGACUUCUGCUAGGGGACAGGAGAUCACCUUCUUCAUAUGAGCUGGAAGACCUGCAGUUUGCUGUCAGACUCCCAGUGGUGACCCAGCUCUCUGGAACAGCAGAAGCCACAUGCCAUGCUCUUCAAGGAUGUGCUGCUGAGGUACAUGGUUGCAUGAACCAAGCUGUUGUGUAUGCAGAGCCACAUCUGCCCUCCUGAGUGACAGAAAUUAAGCAUUUGCUGCUUCCUACUGUAUUUAAACCUGCAGAAGCCCAGAGAGCUCAUCCUCCUCAUGCACCAAGGUAUCCGUGUGUGCUUGCUCAACAGUGGGGGACUCCUUCACCAAGUAACAUUUAAGCAAAUCUCUUAAUAACACAGGGUCUACACACAGAUUAUUGUGAUCAUAAUUUGACUGACAUAGCUUUUAUUACUAAUGAUGAUGCUGGGGAUGGAAAA
This is a long non-coding RNA of Calypte anna (Anna's hummingbird), 474 nucleotides long. RefSeq lists it as uncharacterized. NCBI's taxonomy places the organism in Eukaryota, Metazoa, Chordata, Aves, Apodiformes, Trochilidae. The record is from RefSeq and is a predicted model, not a curated record. The transcript has 3 exons.